RNAcentral lists this ribosomal RNA (433 nucleotides) under uncultured bacterium. Its description in RNAcentral is "partial 16S ribosomal RNA". It matches the Rfam family "Bacterial small subunit ribosomal RNA", at positions 29 to 507 of the family's 1533-position model. The record is from RNAcentral.
AACGAACGCUGGCGGCAUGCCUAACACAUGCAAGUCGAACGAAGGCUUCGGCCUUAGUGGCGCACGGGUGCGUAACGCGUGGGAAUCUGCCCUUUGGUUCGGAAUAACAGCUGGAAACGGCUGCUAAUACCGGAUGAUUACGAAAGUCCAAAGAUUUAUCGCCAGAGGAUGAGCCCGCGUUGGUUUAGGUAGUUGGUGGGGUAAAGGCCUACCAAGCCGACGAUCCAUAGCUGGUCUGAGAGGAUGAUCAGCCACACUGGGACUGAGACACGGCCCAGACUCCUACGGGAGGCAGCAGUGGGGAAUAUUGGACAAUGGGCGCAAGCCUGAUCCAGCAAUGCCGCGUGAGUGAUGAAGGCCCUAGGGUUGUAAAGCUCUUUUACCCGGGAAGAUAAUGACUGUACCGGGAGAAUAAGCCCCGGCUAACUCCGUG